GAAGGCGGCUUGGUCGAGCUCGUCGGAAAAGAAAACGGGAGAGUCUCAAGGUGGGUCCAGGAGGCAAAGUCGGUCUUGGAUGAGG
RNAcentral lists this ribosomal RNA (85 nucleotides) under Zooxanthella nutricula. RNAcentral's name for it is "Brandtodinium nutricula partial Archaeal large subunit ribosomal RNA". The record is from RNAcentral. Lineage: Eukaryota; Dinophyceae; Peridiniales.